Molecule: long non-coding RNA, 1265 nt
Organism: Caretta caretta (loggerhead turtle)
Lineage: Eukaryota; Metazoa; Chordata; Testudines; Cheloniidae
Source: RefSeq, a predicted model, not a curated record
CGCGUCGCUCGGGCAGCCGGGGCCGCGGGGAGGCGGAGCGGAGGAGGAGGAGGAGCAGGAAGUCCACAAACAGAGAAAUGAAAGAAAGAAUUGCAACAAUAUAUGGUGAUGAGGAGAAGAUAACAACUAAAGGAAUUACCAAAGGAAUUACCAGAGGACUGCUCGGAAGAGAUGAGUUCCACCUGACCAAGAAGGGGAAGAGCAUCUUCAUUCAUUGACUCAUUAACCUGGUGAGGAGGACUUUAAACUAGGUUCAAAAGAAGCAGCUGAAAGCCCACAGACUUCAGCUUCCACUGACUUCUGAGACCAUCCUGUCCUCCCUGGAGCAUCUUGUUGCUUGUUGCUACUACCUCUUUCAGGGCAUGGUAUUCACUUGGUGAAUUUCUGUUGGUGGAAGACUGAAGAGGCUACUUCAAGUGGUGAACAAUCCAUUGGAAUAUAGCAGCCACCUGAGCAACUGUACUGUGAAAUACACAAGCUGGGCUGAGAAGCCUACAGAACUGAUCCUGGUAAUCCUUACUCAGAAUAAAGACACAUGGGGAAGAGUUGAAGCACGUUCACUCUAAAAGGAGAACAGAAUAUGCUGGGAGCACAGAAGAAUUCCUCUGUAAUAAGAAUACUCCAAAUUUCUGUGAAGUUUCAAAGGAAUGCAGAAAGAGGAGAAAGAAGUGCUAUUACCGUCAAUGUAUUUAAUUGAAUUUAUAGAAUAAUAAUUGCAAUGCUCAAAAUUUCCAGCGCUCUUGUGGCAUUCAAAUAAUUUAAGAAUUUGCACAGUAUCAAACUUAUUUCAAAAUAUCAUAUACCAGACUGACAUUCAUAUUUCACUAAAUGCCUGUUAACAAACUCCUUCAUAAGCCAUAUGUCUCUCAGCCUACCGCUUACUAAAAUGCCCAGGGAAAAAAUACUGGCUUUGCUGCUUAAUCCUAGAAAAUAUGAAAGAAGGGUAAAAGGCUUGAUGUCUGAAACUGCUAUGGGCAGAAUUCCAGGGUGCUCAUGAUGCAGUGUCUUAACAGCAAUUGAAAUAUCAGGCAAUUAACACUGAAAGCCUUUUUAAUUACGGUGAGUCAUGAAAAAAGGAAAUAUCAGGUAGAUAUAUCUACACAAUCACGAUAUUUACCCUUUGGUUGGAGCUGUGAUUUAAGCCUAAUCAAGGGGGCCAUGUCCAGCACAAAUCCAGGCUUUCUCACCCCCCCCCCUUUUUUUUUUUUGGCCCACCUUGAUUACCAUGCACAUUGUAGGGAGAGUGGUCACUUUGGAUGAGCUAU